UAGCCUUGACAUAUUUUAGAACUCCGUAGAGAUACAGAGGUGCCUUCGGGAGCUAAUAUACAGGUGCUGCACGGCUGUCGUCAGCUCGUGUCGUGAGAUGUUGGGUUAAGUCCCGCAACGAGCGCAACCCUCGUCACUAGUUACUAACGGUUCGGCCGAGGACUCUAGUGAGACUGCCUUCGUAAGGAGGAGGAAGGUGAGGACGACGUCAAGUCAUCAUGGCCCUUACGGCUAGGGCAACACACGUGCUACAAUGGCCAGGACAGUGAGACGCGAUACCGUGAGGUGGAGCAAAUCUAUAAACCUGGUCUCAGUUCGGAUUGUAGUCUGCAACUCGACUACAUGAAGCUGGAAUCACUAGUAAUCGUAGAUCAUCUAUGCUACGGUGAAUACGUUCCCGGGUCU
Molecule: ribosomal RNA, 405 nt
Filed under: uncultured bacterium
Lineage: Bacteria
Description: bacterial SSU rRNA
Rfam family: Bacterial small subunit ribosomal RNA
Source: RNAcentral